GCGCGGCCUUCUAAUGCACAGGGCCUGACAUCGACUUCCGCGCACGGAUCGAACCUUCGAUCGCGCCGAUUUGCAUAGCGGGCCCGCGCCCCGCCGCGCCCGACUCCACGCCGAGACCGCGCAGGCGAGGCCGGGCGCUCCCGGGCUCUGCCUUCCUCCCUCGGUGCCCGGGGGACCGGGCUGCUCACGGCCGCAGACGUGUGCGCGGGCGAGCGCGGAACGCGGCGGGAGACGAUCUCCGCCGGCACCGCGAAAGGAGCCGAGGGCGCCCAGGGCCCCGCCGCGGACCGCGCGGAGGACAGGUACCACCUGCGCGGCGCCGCGGCCCGCUCCCCGCGGGCAGGGGUGGGCACCGCAGGGCGAGGACCCGGGCUGCGAACCGCGCUCCCGCUCCCGGCUCCUGCGCGAAACGGAGCACACUGACCCCGCUUCCCUCCCUCCUGGAGGCGCAUCCUGGACGCGACGCGCCCUCGGGCCACAGCAAAUUAUUGCUCAUUUGAUACCAAGAAUUCUAUUGACCACGGCUUUCGUUGGAGAGCGAAUUCUAACUACUGGCUGCUCUGUUGUCAGCUAGAGCUGAGGCUGGGAACCUUCCACAAGGCUGUGACGGCACACAGAGUCCUCUGCUCCAGGAAGUGCAGAGAUAACGCUGGUGUGUGUUGUCUGCCUGCACCCAAAGCGAUGGUGUUCCUGGAAUGCAAGCACCGCCCGCCAUGCUUGGAGCAUCCUGCCGCAGAGAGAACACUUUCUCCUGGUCUCAGCCCAGACUGACAGCCUGGGGGCCUCGUAGGACACUCGGCCAGAUGACACACACACAAGGGCACCCAGAACCUGUGUCGUGGGCUCCCGGGCAGCUGUGGAUCCAGGAGGCAGGCUGAGCAAGCCAGCAACACUCGCUGCCACUUGUCCAGAAAGCAAGAAAGCGGCAAUAUCCUCAGUGUUAUUUAAGGGAAAAAGACUGGGACCUGCACUGGAGUUUAAAAGUUAGGGGCGGGCUGCUCCCCAGCAUUUCUUUGGAAGGAGGCAGAACUGAGAGCUAUGCAGCUGGCUUGGCGCUUCAGCCCAUAGGAGAGGAGGAAAUUCUCCUCCUCCUCGCUGCACCUUGGAGCAGGUCCUCUGGCAGAGCUCUCGGCUCCCCAGCACCCCGUCAGCCUCCUGCCUCUCCUGCCAGGCCAAUGGAACCAGCAGAACUCGAUAGUAAAUUAUUUUGUUCAGCCCUCUGUCUUUUUAUGAAAAUAAAAGCCAACACUUUGUCAUUUUUAAUCACGUAAGCAGAC
This 1277-nucleotide long non-coding RNA is filed under the name Heterocephalus glaber (naked mole-rat). RNAcentral describes it as "lncRNA (ENSHGLG00000027768.2)". Lineage: Eukaryota; Metazoa; Chordata; Mammalia; Rodentia; Bathyergidae. The record is from RNAcentral.